This 73-nucleotide small nuclear RNA is filed under the name Pteropus vampyrus (large flying fox). RNAcentral's name for it is "U7 small nuclear RNA (ENSPVAG00000029577.1)". The record is from RNAcentral. Lineage: Eukaryota; Metazoa; Chordata; Mammalia; Chiroptera; Pteropodidae.
UAGUGCUUACAGCUCUCUUUGAAUUUGUCUAAUAGGUCCUCUAGUUUUCACACACACACAAAAAAAAACCCAG